RNAcentral lists this ribosomal RNA (485 nucleotides) under uncultured archaeon. RNAcentral's name for it is "bacterial SSU rRNA". It matches the Rfam family "Archaeal small subunit ribosomal RNA", at positions 325 to 810 of the family's 1478-position model. The record is from RNAcentral.
ACGGGGUGCAGCAGGCGCGAAAACUGACCAAUGCGCGAAAGCGUGAGUCGGUCAAUCCGAGUGUAGACCCAUCGGUUUACUUUUGUCAUGUGUACAACGCUUGGCGAAUAAUGUGAGGGCAAGACUGGUGCCAGCCGCCGCGGUAAAACCAGCUCAUAGAGUGGUGAUCAUGAUUAUUUGGCUUAAAGUGUGCGUAGCAGGGAAUUCUAAGUCCUCUGUGAAAUGUCAGGUCUUAAGCUUGACACGUGCAGAGGAUACUGGAAUCCUUGGGACUGGGAUAGGUGUAAUGCACGGUUUGGGUAGGGGUGAAAUCCGAUAAUCCAAGCCGGACAACCGGUGGCGAAGGCGUUACACUGGAACAGGUCCGACUGUGAGGCACGAAAGCUAGGGUCGCGAGCCGGAUUAGAUACCCGGGUAGUCCUAUGCUGUAAACGAUGCUCACUAAGUGUUAGGUAAUGCAAGACAUUCUCUAGUGCCGAAGCGAA